AUGGGGGAAACCCUGAUGCAGCAACGCCGCGUGAAGGAUGAAGGUCUUCGGAUUGUAAACUUCUUUGAUGAGGGACGAAUAAAUGACGGUACCUCAAAAACAAGCCACGGCUAACUACGUGCCAGCAGCCGCGGUAAUACGUAGGUGGCAAGCGUUGUCCGGAAUUAUUGGGCGUAAAGGGCGCGUAGGCGGUUUCUUAAGUCAGAUGUGAAAUCCCGGGGCUUAACCUCGGGCGUGCAUUUGAAACUGGGGAACUAGAGUGCAGGAGAGGUAAGUGGAAUUCCUAGUGUAGCGGUGAAAUGCGUAGAUAUUAGGAGGAACACCAGUGGCGAAGGCGACUUACUGGACUGUAACUGACGCUGAGGCGCGAAAGCGUGGGGAGCAAACAGGAUUAGAUACCCUGGUAGUCCACGCUGUAAACGAUGGAUACUAGGUGUGGGAGGUAUCGACCCCUUCCGUGCCGCAGUAAACGCAAUAAGUAUCCCGCCUGGGGAGUA
This 497-nucleotide ribosomal RNA is filed under the name uncultured bacterium. RNAcentral describes it as "bacterial SSU rRNA". It matches the Rfam family "Bacterial small subunit ribosomal RNA", at positions 371 to 882 of the family's 1533-position model. The record is from RNAcentral.